CGCAAGGGACAAAAUGCACAGCAGUGCAUGGCUGUCGUCAGCUCAGUGUCGAGAGAUGUAUGAUAAGUCCCGCAAAGAGCGCAACACUCGCCUUUAGUUGUCCAUCAUUUAGUUGGGCACUUUAUUAGGAACUCCGGUGACAAGCCGGAGGAAGGUGGGGAUGACGUCAAGUCCUCAUGGCCGGUAUGUCCUGGGCUACACACGUGUCACAAUGGGGUGACGGUGAGAAGGUAGGCGGCGACGCCGUGUUGAUCUUUAAAAGCCAUCUCAGUUAGGAUUGUCUGUGCAACUCGAGUACAUGAAGGAGGAAUAGGUAGUAAUCGUGGAUCAGCAAGCCACGGUGAAUGACGUCCCGGGCGUUGUACACACCCCCAAUCGAAUUCCCGC
This 387-nucleotide ribosomal RNA is filed under the name uncultured bacterium. RNAcentral's name for it is "bacterial SSU rRNA". It matches the Rfam family "Bacterial small subunit ribosomal RNA", at positions 1018 to 1408 of the family's 1533-position model. The record is from RNAcentral.